UUAAUCACGUUGUAAUUACUGACUGAUAGCAUGUUCAAUUAACUCAUCAAUCAUACACAGAUUGCCAUUAAAAACACAAUCACAUAAUACAUAACAUUCAGACUGAAUGUUCUGUAUACAGAUGUCAUGACAUCGGGUCUGACAUCUUGGAAAAAUCCUGCAUAAUCACAUUUUAAACAUCUAGCAGGUACAAGAUAUCUUAUGUUAAGACAUCACAUGUGACACCUUGUGAACACUCUUGGUUUUACCAAAAUUGCUGCCAACACUUAGAACCAAC
Molecule: long non-coding RNA, 277 nt
Filed under: Lathyrus oleraceus (garden pea)
Lineage: Eukaryota; Viridiplantae; Streptophyta; Magnoliopsida; Fabales; Fabaceae
Description: Pisum sativum (pea) long non-coding RNA (PSAT_LNC013072)
Source: RNAcentral